GGACUGAUGAAGAGUCGCACGAUAGGACGAAACGGCCGUCCAGUGC
Molecule: non-coding RNA, 46 nt
Organism: Schistosoma haematobium
Lineage: Eukaryota; Metazoa; Platyhelminthes; Trematoda; Strigeidida; Schistosomatidae
Source: Rfam